This 224-nucleotide long non-coding RNA is filed under the name Sorghum bicolor (sorghum). RNAcentral's name for it is "long non-coding RNA (SBIC_LNC013990)". The record is from RNAcentral. Lineage: Eukaryota; Viridiplantae; Streptophyta; Magnoliopsida; Poales; Poaceae.
CCUAAGCAAAAGAGGUUUCUAGGGCUUAUACAUGGAAGUAUGACUUAAGCACCUAAUUUGGAGAAGUGAUCAACAUGAACAUUGUUACUAAGGUUGAGUUAAGCGUAGAUAAACUAAUUACCAAAGCUUAACACAAAAGCAUGAGCAUGGUUCACACAAACACAAGCAUAGGAAUCAUGAUUAAACAAGUUAAAGCACACUUAAGCAUAAAAUGACAUGGCUCA